ACUGAGCGUCCUGGUAAAUGGAAUUUUGGGAAAAGUUGUGUAUCGUCUGGAAGAAGGUGUUAGAGAUUGAUAGCACUUGAACAAGAGAGCACAAGAGAACUAGGGAAGAGGAGAAACGUAGACUCACAAAGGCAUGUUCCUUUCCUAACACACACCGGUCCUAUUUUUCCACUCUUCACUCUGCCCCAAAUAUAUUUGAAGGUUUGGUCAUCAUGGCAUACGCCAGCCUUGUUCCAUUGGGUCACAGGGCUUCAGCCAAUUUUCUCCAGUGGCAGUUUGAUUGCUUCACCACUGCAGUUGUCUUCAUGCCACUUCAGCACUGGAGAACAUAAAUAAUUCUUAUAACUUAAAGAGGAUUUACAAACAGAACUGGAGAUAGUAUUUGUUUUAAUUGAGAUAUGAUUACCGAAGUUUCCAGAUCUUGUGCAUUAGUCCACAGGGAACUGUCUGCAUUAGAGGGAAAAAGACAAGUAAAUCACGUUAUUGUUAUUAUUACUUUUAAUAACUCUGUCGAAAGCUGAUAAAAAGAAAGUUAGGAAUUUGGGUGCUACUCUCACUGCUGAGUCACCGAACACAAGGAUCAUACAUCUGCUAAAUUCUGGGACACCUAUGAUGUAACAACCCAAGAAAAAAAAAUAGCAGCUAAUAUCAAGAGCAAAAUUGUUUUAAAAAUAAACCAAAAUGCAAAAUUCAGAUCUGUAUUUCCACAAGACAUGAAGAGCUUUGAAAGGAGAUACCAUUUACCAUUGCGUGGAAGACUCUUCCAAAGGAAGUCUGGAAACCUGAAAGGACUGAGUUCCAGGGCUCCUCUUAGUGGGGCAUCCAGUUGGCUCCUCAGAGGACCCUCAAGUCCAAGGACCAUCUCAUACCAAAAAGACAAGCUUGGGCUACUGGAGAUGACCAGAACUCCUCCCUCACAUCACAGCAUCGAUAAAACAAGUCAUGCUUCACCCUCCCCAUCAGCCUGUAGAAGCUCAUGAAGCAGAUGUAUCUGAUAGCCUGCCAACAUUUUUCACUGCUGUAAAAGGAAUGAUGGAAAGGUGGAAAACUGGUCCUGUUUCCCAAAUUCCUGGGGUAGGAUCUAGUGUGCAAGAGUGCUCCUCCAUAGCAAUCUGUCGUUUUCCAGGGUACCAUUGGGUCCAGAGAGAUCUGCAGUUUCUCCCUCACCUCUGCCACUGUGCAGAAUCCCUUCCCCUCUGUGUUGUCCUGUGGGGGAUAAUCGAUGUGCUGGUCGAGAAAAGAAAAAGAGAAGAAAACAGAUUAACACUUGGAAAGAAUAAAACCACCAAAAAAAAAAAAAAAAAAAGAAAAAUAGCGAGGAUGUAAAGCUGCUUAGUCUAAUCAACCUGUCACGUGUGUGAUUUCUGUUGUCGUCGUCAUUGUUUGUCCAUUGGCUACUCUUUUUUUUGCUUGUUUGUUAAUCUUCUGUUCUAAAAAUGGAGAGUUUACCUCAAACGUUUCUUUCUGCUUGGAAACAGAUCACCUCAAAGACACUAAGAGCAGUGUGCAGGGAAGCUCAGUGAAGUGAACCUGAUUAUGGAAAACAGGGGAAGAGGACGUUUAGGCUCUUCCAGCAUCCCCUCCUCUUGCUGCUGUGGGCUGAAUCUGAGGGCAGUAUUUCUGAGCAGGAGAGGCUGCUGUUCACUUCCAGAUCAACUGGAACGUAAGAACCAGCCGGGGAAAUCAAGGCACAUCCGAGCUUGAAGUCCUUUCUGAAGUAUCUGAAAGAAACUUGGUGUUACUUUUAAAAAUUUCCCUGCUUUUUCCCCAUUCCCUGGAGAAAAAAAAAAAAAAAAAAAGAAAAAAAAAACACUUUCCAGCCCAGAGUGGGGUAAGGAAGCAGAGAGGUUAGGUGCUAGCUAAAUGUUCCCAGCAUCUUCCCCACGAAAUCAAGAGACAACUGGAUUAUUUAAUGCCACAAAGACAGGCCCUUCCUAGUGUCUGACCCUGUGUCUUGGACAUACACAUGAGCCCAGAAGUCUUAUUCUGUUUUGCUAAAACUUCCACCUUAAGUACAAAAUCAUUGUAAAGACAUAUCCUUUCACUACAGUGUUACAAACAGCCUCAAAAAGAUGUCAAGACAGCAUUAGAAAGGAGGUUGGGAUCCUUUUUUUUUUUUUUUAGGUUGUUGUUGUUGUUGGUUUGAUUUUUUCUUUUGAAUUGAUCCUAGUUAAAGAAAUAAAUAAAAUCUAUACUAUUUAAAUUGGAAUCCC
This 2213-nucleotide long non-coding RNA is filed under the name Anas platyrhynchos platyrhynchos (common mallard). Its description in RNAcentral is "lncRNA (ENSAPLG00000021771.1)". Lineage: Eukaryota; Metazoa; Chordata; Aves; Anseriformes; Anatidae. The record is from RNAcentral.